Molecule: ribosomal RNA, 1004 nt
Filed under: uncultured Verrucomicrobiota bacterium
Lineage: Bacteria; Pseudomonadati; Verrucomicrobiota
Description: bacterial SSU rRNA
Rfam family: Bacterial small subunit ribosomal RNA
Source: RNAcentral
CAGCAGCCGCGGUAAUACGGAGGGGCCAAACGUUGCUCGGAAUUAUUGGGCGUAAAGAGCACGUAGGCGGCUUGACAAGUCGGACGUGAAAACCCGGGGCUCAACCCCGGGACGCCGUUCGAAACUGUCAUGGCUAGGGUCCGGAGAGGAGAGCGGAAUUCUAGGUGUAGCGGUGAAAUGCGUUGAUAUCAAGAAGAACACCGGUGGCGAAGGCGGCUCUCUAGAAUGUUACUGACGCUGAGGCACGAAAGUUGGGGGAGCAAACGGGAUUAGAUACCCUGGUAGUCCCAACCCUAAACGGUGUGAACUUGGUGUGGGGGGUAUUGACCCCCCCCGUACCGGAGCUAACGCGUUAAGUACACCGCCUGGGGAGUACGGUCGCAAGGCUGAAACUCAAAGAAAUUGACGGGGGCCCGCACAAGCGGAGGAGCAUGGGGCUCAAUUCGAUGCAACGCGAAGAACCUUACCAGGGCUGGACAUGCAGCUGCACGUCCGGUGAAAGUCGGAUUCCUUUGAGGGUGCUGCACAGGUGGUGCAUGGCUGUCGUCAGUUCGUGCCGUGAGGUGUUGGGUUAAGUCCCGCAACGAACGCAACCCCUGUGUUUAGUUGCUACCGCAGGUGAUGAGCCUGCGGGCACUCUAGACAGACUGCCCGUGCAAGCGGGAGGAAGGUGGGGAUGACGUCAAGUCAGUAUGUCCCUUACGUCCUGGGCUGCACACGUGCUACAAUGGCAGGUACAGUGAGAAGCAAAACCGCGAGGUGGAGCAAAUCUCCAAAACCUGCCCCAGUUCGGAUUGGAGUCUGAAACUCGACUCCAUGAAGUCGGAUUCGCUAGUAACGGCGCAUCAGCUACGGCGCCGUGAAUACGUUCCCGGGCCUUGUACACACCGCCCGUCACAUCAUGAAAGCUGUUUGCACCCGAAGUCGCCGUGCCAACCCGCAAGGGGGGGGGGGGCCGAAGGUAGGGUGGAUGAGUGGGGAGAAGUCGUAACAAGGUAGCCGUA